Molecule: long non-coding RNA, 562 nt
Organism: Toxorhynchites rutilus septentrionalis
Lineage: Eukaryota; Metazoa; Arthropoda; Insecta; Diptera; Culicidae
Exons: 4
Source: RefSeq, a predicted model, not a curated record
CACCCAGAUUCCUAUAUUUUCGAGCGGUUAUAAGCACAGUGUCGAUCGAGUGACGAAAAAUGCUACAAAAGUGCCGGAAUUUUACCCGGCCUUGCCACCCGCAGACAGCACUGCCCUAAGCUUCUGCUAUAAUCACAAUAAAACUACACGAAUUGAGCGAAUCGCUAUUACAGCAGCCUUUUUUUUCCUCAUUGAACUGUCAAAACACAACACAACAGUUUUUGGAAAGAGAAACGAUUUUUAUUGGCUUGAUCACGCUCCCGAACUGCAGAGUAGACAGAUAGGACAGGUUAAUUUCACAUUGCCUUUUAUUGCUCCAGCUUCAACAGGCAUCAUAGUAAAUACAAGUUAAUCCCGCAUUGCCUUCCACCGCUCCACCGACAGCAGGCAUUCACAUCAAUAUUAUUAUAUACUACACAUACUUUUAACAUGAAUAUAUAUUUAGAUGUACAUUAUAAAACUAAGUGAAUAACCGAUAAGUUGAUGAUUGUAUUUCAAGUUGCAAUUGUAUUUAAGUGUAAAUUGCUUUUUCUAGAAAUAAAAUACAUAUUUUUUAUCAACA